UUUUGAACCAUAGGGCCAAAAAAUAUGAAAAAAUUUGUGGAAGUAGAGCUUAAGAAAGACAUUAAAUGAAAACUAUAGCGGACAUGAUCAGUUUAGUUGUUUUUGAGCUAUCGCAAAAAGAUUAUGCAAAUUUGCCUAUUUGUUUAACUCGGGUGAAAGCUACCGUUUCAUCCCUUGGUUAACAAUUUACUAUACUUUAAGCUCCAGUUUAGCUUAUUGUGACGGAAGAGUAACUACGGAACCCUACACUGAGCGUGGCCCGACAUGCUCUUGGCCGAUUAUUUAUUAUAUUUCGACUUGACUAGACUUGAACGUUUUGAUAUAUUGUCUUUCUAAUAAUCGGACAAAUUUAUGUUAGUAGACAUUUUUAUACAUCGCCAUGUUUCCUUAUAGUCCAUACACGCAUAAAUCCAAUUUUUAAUUAAUAAUGACGAUGGCUCAUGUUGAUUCAUGAGAAGAAAAAGCAUUAGAAGUCAUAUCAUUAGAUAUCUCGCUAUUAGAGGGCACAAGAUGCACCGUGAGCCAUGUCAAGGUGACAUUAUAACAUCACCAUAACAAAUUAGUUAAUCAGAAUCGGUCUCCAAGUAAUUUGAAGAGUAAUCUGUACCCCUAGUGUAACUUUGAUCGACAUCAUAACGUGACGAACGCGUUUGCGUUAAGUCUCAUUUUGUAUAGGAUUUUGAGUUUCCAAAACGUCCCGCUUGGCGCGCUGUUCAAAAACCCAUACAAAAUGAGACUAAACGCAAACGCGUACGUUUUGAAACGUGACGUACGCGUUUGCGUUUAGUACUGUUCUAGGGGGUACUGUUCUUGUGCCAUCGCUUAAAUUGCGUUUCAAAUGUAUUUAGAGGCAGGGGUUGUAUGUUCCCCGGAUGGUAAUUGAAUAUCCUUAUAAUAUUUAUAUAUUUUUUUUUUCUUAAUUUAUUGAGAAACAAACAGUCUUAAAAUAAACAUAUUAUGAGCAACUUAGCUAAUA
Long non-coding RNA from Cydia pomonella (codling moth), 976 nucleotides. RefSeq lists it as uncharacterized. The record is from RefSeq and is a predicted model, not a curated record. NCBI's taxonomy places the organism in Eukaryota, Metazoa, Arthropoda, Insecta, Lepidoptera, Tortricidae. The transcript is spliced from 2 exons.